AACGAACGCUGGCGGCAGGCUUAACACAUGCAAGUCGAGCGCCCCGCAAGGGGAGCGGCAGACGGGUGAGUAACGCGUGGGAAUCUACCGUGCCCUACGGAAUAGCUCCGGGAAACUGGAAUUAAUACCGUAUACGCCCUACGGGGGAAAGAUUUAUCGGGGUAUGAUGAGCCCGCGUUGGAUUAGCUAGUUGGUGGGGUAAUGGCCUACCAAGGCGACGAUCCAUAGCUGGUCUGAGAGGAUGAUCAGCCACAUUGGGACUGAGACACGGCCCAAACUCCUACGGGAGGCAGCAGUGGGGAAUAUUGGACAAUGGGCGAAAGCCUGAUCCAGCCAUGCCGCGUGAGUGAUGAAGGUCUUAGGAUUGUAAAGCUCUUUCACCGGUGAAGAUAAUGACGGUAACCGGAGAAGAAGCCCCGGCUAACUUCGUGCCAGCCGCCGCAGUAA
RNAcentral lists this ribosomal RNA (447 nucleotides) under uncultured bacterium. RNAcentral describes it as "partial 16S ribosomal RNA". It matches the Rfam family "Bacterial small subunit ribosomal RNA", at positions 29 to 523 of the family's 1533-position model. The record is from RNAcentral.